AUUAAUCUUUUAUUCAUUAAAAUAAACCUAAAUUCUAUCGACAAAACAAAAAUUAAAAAAAAGUUGGGUAUCUGGUACCAAAUAUGUACCGAUUGCUGUAUCAAAUAUAAAAAAAAAUUAUACUCGGUGCAUACCGUUCACGUACCUGUAUCCGAUACCGGUACUUUACCUAAAAUGGAAUUACCGUGCUUCAUUGUUUGUAAACCACCUUGC
This 213-nucleotide long non-coding RNA is filed under the name Lathyrus oleraceus (garden pea). Its description in RNAcentral is "Pisum sativum (pea) long non-coding RNA (PSAT_LNC006794)". Lineage: Eukaryota; Viridiplantae; Streptophyta; Magnoliopsida; Fabales; Fabaceae. The record is from RNAcentral.